Molecule: RNA transcript, 3606 nt
Organism: Cryptotermes secundus
Lineage: Eukaryota; Metazoa; Arthropoda; Insecta; Blattodea; Kalotermitidae
Gene: DNAlig4
Gene name: DNA ligase 4
Exons: 19
Source: RefSeq, a predicted model, not a curated record
UGUUGCUAACCAAUAACAUGGGAGUUUCACGGGGCUUGGUGUGAAUGUAUGUGUUGUCUUCAUUAGGUUGUGGGUUCCUUAGAAAUGUAUCUCUGCUAGUUAUGUAUUAGUUACAGUAGUAUUUGGCGUCAUUUCCUGUAAAUUGUAUCUUAUGUUGGUGAACAGUAUAAGCCAAGGUAACUGAAACAGUAGCUAUAAAAUAUGGAAUCUACUGUUGCUUCUAAAAUACCCUUCAAGGAUUUAUGUCUUCUCUGUGAGAAAAUUAGUAGCAGUGCACGUUCCAUGAAGGGAGCAUACCUCAGAAAGUACAUCAGCUACUUCCGUGAAUAUGCCAAGAAGAUGAAACAGGAAACACCAUCAUUGGAUGACAGUUUCUAUCCCAUCCUACGACUACUACUGCCACAGCUAGACCGAGAACGUGGUGCUUAUGGUGUAAAGGAGCACAACUUAGCUAAAGUUUACAUCCGUAUCCUUGGUCUGCCUAAGGAAGGACAUGAUGCAUCAAAACUACUCAAUUUUAGGGCUCCAAAAACUGCAGGCAAACUUGCUGGUGACUUUGCAGAGGUGGCUUUCUGGGUUCUGAAAAGUCGUUGUCCUGAAGGGGGGAGUCUGAAUGUGGAGCAAGUGAACAUGCAUCUCAAUAAGAUCGUACUGAAACAUGCAGCUCAUGAUCCAAGAGGGGUUGAUGCUGAGCUUGUUGCAAUGUUGACGUCAAUGUCUGCAGCAGAACAGAAAUGGUUGAUACGGAUGUUGUUAAAGGACAUGAAAUUUGGCUUGGGCCAGAAUAGUAUUUUUGGCAUAUAUCAUCCAGAUGCCAAGGAGCUGUAUGAUGUUUGUAACAACCUUCAUAAGGUUUGCCAGUUGUUACACAAUCCCACAGUUCGUUUGCAUGAAGUGGAAGUUUCAUUAUUCUCUCCAUUUCGACCAAUGCUGGCAGAACGUUGUAAUGUGCGCUCUGUAGAAGAAUCCAUGAAGAAAAGCCAGUUUUAUUAUGUAGAAACUAAACAUGAUGGUGAAAGGUUUCAGUUGCACAUGGAGAAUGGAGUUUUCAAAUAUUUCUCCAGAAAUGGUUAUGAAUACACAGAUGGUUUUGCCACACUUCUGACACCCCAUGUGGCAAAACUACUGCGAACUGAUAUAAAGAGCUGCAUACUGGAUGGAGAAAUGAUGGGAUGGAAUCAAAAGUUGAAGUGUUUUAAAACUAAAGGUAUUGAUUUUGAUGUGAAGUACCUGAAGAUGGGAGAUGACAUUCGCCCAUGUCUGUGUGUGUUUGAUAUAUUGCUGUGUAAUGGGCAAGUACUUACCAAUAAGCCACUGUGUGAGCGACUCCAUUUCCUAGAGAGUCUCUUCACACCUUCUGAGGGGAUCAUCAUGUACACAGAACAGAAGAAAGUGACAACUGGGCAAGAAGUAAUGGAUGAACUAAAUUUGGCAAUUGAUAAGAGGUUGGAAGGAAUUAUACUUAAAGAUCCAACAUCAGUUUAUAAACCUAAUGCAAGGAAAGGAGGCUGGUACAAAAUCAAACCAGAGUACACAGAGGGGUUAAUGGACCAUGUGGAUCUUAUUAUUAUGGGUGGUUACUUUGGAGAAGGACGGAGGAAGGGCAUCAGUCACUUCCUUCUUGGAGCUGCUGUGCCCCCAGCUACUGAAGGUAUGGAACCUGUGGAGUUUCAUUCUGUUGUUCGUGUGGGCUCAGGCUACUCAAUGUAUGAGUUGUCAGAAUUACUUCAAAAACUUUCACCUCACUGGCAGCGUGUUUUGCCAGGACAGUGUCCACCUUGUCUUGCAUGGACCAAGGAAAAGCCAGAUGUAUGGAUUGCUCCACAAAAUUCUUACAUACUGGAGGUGAAAGCAACAGAGAUUGUACCAAGCAAAUCAUUCAAAGUUAACUUUACACUUCGAUUUCCUCGAGUGGAGACUAUUCGCUAUGACAAAAAGUGGUCUGAUUGCAUGACUCUUACAGAGUUUGACAGCUUAAGGAAGGAAGCAUCUGGAAAGCUGUACUCUAGACACGUGGAUGCCAGUAAUGAAUUGCCCGAAUCACCAAGAAAGAAGCAGCGGCAUUUGACUCGAGUACCUAUUAAAUUGGGUGAACAGUUUCGUGGUAUUGAUAUAUCUGGAAUCGAUGUGGUAACAGACUUGUUAGAAGGGAAGGAGUUUUGUGUGCUAACAGAUUGGAAAGAACAUACAAAGCAAGAUAUAGAAACCAAAAUUGUUCAGAAUGGAGGCACAGUUGUACAAAACACAGGGCACAAUACAUUUUGUGCUGUGGCUGGAAAUACCACACUCCGCGUGCACAACAUUGCUAAGAGUGGACGGUAUAGUGUUGUCCAUGUAGACUGGCUGCUGCGUUCCAUAGCUGCUGGUGAACUGUUGCCCUGGACACCUGCUGAUUUGUUAUAUGCAACAUCAACUGUAAGCGAGCAGCUAUCAGCAAAGUAUGAUAUGUUUGGGGACAGCUACACACAACCGCUGAAUAAAGAUACAUUGAAAUAUGUGUUUGAACAAGUUGAGAAAAUGGACAGUGUUGUCGACCUCACUGAAGAAAUGUUAGCAGAUCUUGAAAUAGAACUGUUUCCUGGGCCCAGUCCUUAUGGCUUGUUCCGUUUGUGUCGGGCGUAUGUGGACAAAUAUUACCGGUUAAAUGAUCCAUUGUCAGGUGAAAGUAAUAAAUUGGAUAUUGUUGAAGUUUAUUUCAGUUUCUAUGGAGGCCAGACAUUUUUACAAAUAGAUGAGCUGACCACUCAUGUGAUUGUGCAUUCUGAGUCACAGGAAAGGCUUGAUGAGAUCAAAGGUCUGAAUGAAGAGAGAGGGUGCAGGUUCUACAUUGUGACUGAGAAUUGGGUCCAUGAGACAAUUAAAAUGAAGAGCAGGCAAAAUGAGCAUGAUUACUCAUUGUAAUGUACACAAUGUUUCAUAUAAGGGAUGCUGCAACUGCUCCUUAGUUGAUCCAUCAUCAAACAAGGAACCAAUAACACCAGUGUCCAAGGCAGUGCUUCACAAUUUAGAUGUAUAUUCAGUACACCACGACUACAAUCCGUGCCAAAUGGAAACCAUCCAUCUUCUCCAUUGACCAAAUAAAACGGUGGUUUACUUCAUCAUCUACGUGACAUGGGCGAUCAGGAUCCUUUGCAUGCAGAAAUAUGUAUUUCAUUGGAAUGGGCUUCUCAGAUUAGAUGUGAAAUUAUUGAAGAUUUUUGCUGCCAGCAUAAUAUGCACAUCUCUGAAAAAAUUAGGGGCUGGCAACUUACCUGCGAAGAUGGUACGUGUUUGUUAAGUUAAAACUAUGUACAGCAUAAUUUAUCUGAAAAUAUUCUUGGCUAUUCACAAUGAAUUUUGUUAAUGAGUACAUGUAUUCUCAUGAAGAGAUAAGGUCACUAAUCCCAAAAAUAGACCUCUGCAUGAAUUUAUAGGUUUGACAUCUGCCAUGAUUUUAAAAUUUUAUUUUGUAAUGUAAAUAUCUGGAAAAAAGAAUUUACUUGGAAGAUGAAGUCAGAGUUCUUUUUUUUUAUUGUUACUGGGGUGGGACUGUGUCCCUCGUACUGCAGCCACUUCUGGCCUAUUGUACCAUCCCCAGGUGAUAAGUUAUGGUGAUUGUGGAGCAAU